GGCCCCUAUGGUCCAGCAGUUACGACCUCUUUUUUUUCACGGAGAAAACGAGGGUUCAAGUCCCUCUGGGGGUAUACUAAGACUCAAGACGAUAGGAGUGGGAUUUUCUAUCAAGUGAUCUAUAUUUGUCAAGUCCUUCUAAUAGUCUACUCAGUGGGACUUUGUAUUUUAGAUCAAGUGAUAUGUAUUUAUCAAAUCUGUCUGGGGACAAUAUUGUGGAACGUCUAAAAUAAAUUAGGCGUUGGGUCAAUGCCCGAGUGGUUAAUGGGGACGGACUAUAAAUUCGUUGACAAUAUGUCUACGCUGGUUCAAAUCCAGCUCGGCCAACAAUUUGUCAAUCUACUAUCAGAUGGUAGAACACUCUUGUUCUUAAUAAAUACCUGAUACGAGAGAAUAAAAAGGAAUCCAAAAUUUCUGCUAGAUCUCUUCUUAUUUCCCUGGGAUUGUAGUUCAAUAGGCAAGAGCACCGCCCUGUCAAGGCGGACGUUGCGGGUUCGAGCCCCGUCAGUCCCGACGGAUCC
RNAcentral lists this transfer RNA (521 nucleotides) under Helianthus annuus (common sunflower). Its description in RNAcentral is "hypothetical non coding rna". The stretch from base 440 to 513 matches the Rfam family "tRNA". Lineage: Eukaryota; Viridiplantae; Streptophyta; Magnoliopsida; Asterales; Asteraceae. The record is from RNAcentral.